GCACCGCCCGCUGCGAGUGGCGUCUUCCUCCGCCAGCCAUGGCGGUGCCCGCCGGGCCGGCGCGGCUCGUGCGCUGCGGGCAGAAGGACGAGCUGUACCGGAGCGGGCUGCGGAGCGGGGCCGGCGCCGCGCUGCACGGGCUGGCAGGUGCCAAGAAGUGGCUGGAAUGGAGGAAGGAAAUAGAAUUGCUUUCUGAUGUAGCCUACUUCGUCCUCACCACUCUGUCAGGUUAUCAGACUCUGGGUGAAGAGUAUGUUAACAUUGUUCAAGUUGACUCAACCAAGAAAAGGGUACCUUCUUUUCUCCGCCGGGCCAUCUUCGUUUCCCUUCAUACUGUAGUACCCUAUUGCUUAGAAAAGGGAUUACUGCAUCUGGAACACGAGCUGCAGAUAGAAGCUGAUGAGUCCAGAGCCUUGCAGAGAAGCCCAGCACUUGGCUUGCCCAGCAGGACCUUAAUACGAAGCUGGAUACAGAAACAAGUUGGGGAGCUUACAGAGCAGCAGAAGAAGAGAGUCUUACAAGUUGUGUAUGUUCUUAAACACUGUGUGCCUUUGCUUCAUCGGCUGCACCUGGCAGUGUUCUACAUAAGCGGCACUUUUUAUCACCUGUCUAAAAGAAUCACCGGAAUCAGAUAUCUGCAUUUUGGAGGACUGCAAGGAGAAGAUCGGAGUAUUCGAUCAAGUUACAAGUUUCUUGGAAUAAUUUCCCUCUUCCAUCUUCUUCUAACAAUUGGUGUUCAGAUGUACAGCUUCAAACAGAGGCAGAGAGCAAGACAGGAAUGGAAACUACACCGCAACCUGGCUCAUCCCAAAAACAUGACCAAGGAAAAAACCCCUGGGCGCCACUCCCACUGCACUUUAUGUUUGGAAGAACGGAGACAUACAACAGCCACACCCUGUGGCCACCUCUUCUGCUGGGAAUGCAUCACGGAGUGGUGUAACACCAGAACAGAAUGUCCACUGUGCAGAGAGAAGUUUCAUCCUCAGAAACUGAUCUACCUACGUCACUAUCAACUGUGAAGAGAAAAGCGAUUUUGUUUCACGACAAGGGCCUCAGCUCUCAUACCCUUCAUAAAGUUGUCAUAGAGCUUGAGUUAGUCUAAGAAAGACUUCAUUAUAAAACUGGGUUACUGAAGGCUGAAUUCCAGAGCUCCAUAAUGACUUCAUUUCACAAAACUGGAUGAAAGGGCACCUACAUUUUCCAAUUAGAUGUCUGUUGAAGUUGAGACUAUUCUCCAUUCAGAAUCUUCAAAGAGCCAAUCCGUUCCUACUUUCUGCAAGUGAAUACUCCCGGGAGAGUUGAAAAAGGUAUUGCAUAAAAAGAAGAUUGAGGGUGACCAUUAUUGAAAAGCAACCAUAAAUAUUGUUAGAUCAAUAGAUGCAUAUAAAGAUAGAGAACAAGUAAAGGGGGACACUGUCUUUUAAUAAAUUUUGGAAUUAAAAAGUCACUUAAUAAAACUGCAGUUGUAUCACA
This is an RNA transcript of Colius striatus (speckled mousebird), 1473 nucleotides long. It is a transcript of the gene named peroxisomal biogenesis factor 10, with no coding region annotated. The transcript has 7 exons. Lineage: Eukaryota; Metazoa; Chordata; Aves; Coliiformes; Coliidae. The record is from RefSeq and is a predicted model, not a curated record.